AUUGAACGCUGGCGGCAGGCCUAACACAUGCAAGUCGAGCGGAUGAAGGGAGCUUGCUCCUGGAUUCAGCGGCGGACGGGUGAGUAAUGCCUAGGAAUCUGCCUGGUAGUGGGGGAUAACGUCCGGAAACGGGCGCUAAUACCGCAUACGUCCUGAGGGAGAAAGUGGGGGAUCUUCGGACCUCACGCUAUCAGAUGAGCCUAGGUCGGAUUAGCUAGUUGGUGGGGUAAAGGCCUACCAAGGCGACGAUCCGUAACUGGUCUGAGAGGAUGAUCAGUCACACUGGAACUGAGACACGGUCCAGACUCCUACGGGAGGCAGCAGUGGGGAAUAUUGGACAAUGGGCGAAAGCCUGAUCCAGCCAUGCCGCGUGUGUGAAGAAGGUCUUCGGAUUGUAAAGCACUUUAAGUUGGGAGGAAGGGCAGUUAGUUAAUACCUUGCUGUUUUGACGUUACCAACAGAAUAAGCACCGGCUAACUUCGUG
Molecule: ribosomal RNA, 484 nt
Filed under: uncultured bacterium
Lineage: Bacteria
Description: partial 16S ribosomal RNA
Rfam family: Bacterial small subunit ribosomal RNA
Source: RNAcentral